This 59-nucleotide microRNA precursor is filed under the name Myotis lucifugus (little brown bat). Its description in RNAcentral is "miRNA (ENSMLUG00000021965.1)". The record is from RNAcentral. Lineage: Eukaryota; Metazoa; Chordata; Mammalia; Chiroptera; Vespertilionidae.
UGGCUCUGUGAAGUUGGCUCAAGCAGGUCUGCACAUUGAGCCAGCCUGUCAGGGCAUUG